This 460-nucleotide ribosomal RNA is filed under the name uncultured bacterium. Its description in RNAcentral is "partial 16S ribosomal RNA". It matches the Rfam family "Bacterial small subunit ribosomal RNA", at positions 338 to 795 of the family's 1533-position model. The record is from RNAcentral.
CCUACGGGUGGCAGCAGUGAGGAAUAUUGGUCAAUGGGCGCGAGCCUGAACCAGCCAAGUAGCGUGAAGGAUGACUGCCCUACGGGUUGUAAACUUCUUUUAUAAAGGAAUAAAGUGAGGCACGUGUGCCUUUUUGUAUGUACUUUAUGAAUAAGGAUCGGCUAACUCCGUGCCAUCAGCCGCGGUAAUACGGAGGAUCCGAGCGUUAUCCGGAUUUAUUGGGUUUAAUGGGAGCGUAGAUGGGUUGUUAAGUCAGGUGUGAAAGUUUGCGGGUCAACCGUAAAAUUGAAAUUGAUACUGGCAGUCUUGAGUACAGUUGAGGUAGGCGGAAUUCGUGGUGUAGCGGUGAAAUGCUUAGAUAUCACGAAGAACUCCGAUUGCGAAGGCAGCUUACUAAACUGCCACUGACAUUGAUGCUCGAAAGUGUGGGUAUCAAACAGGAUUAGAUACCCUAGUAGUC